RNAcentral lists this ribosomal RNA (468 nucleotides) under uncultured bacterium. RNAcentral's name for it is "partial 16S ribosomal RNA". It matches the Rfam family "Bacterial small subunit ribosomal RNA", at positions 28 to 507 of the family's 1533-position model. The record is from RNAcentral.
GACGAACGCUGGCGGCGUGCUUAACACAUGCAAGUCGAACGGAAAGGCCCUGCUUUUGUGGGGUGCUCGAGUGGCGAACGGGUGAGUAACACGUGAGUAACCUGCCCUUGACUUUGGGAUAACUUCAGGAAACUGGGGCUGAUACCGGAUAGGAGCUCCUGCUGCAUGGUGGGGGUUGGAAAGUUUCGGCGGUUGGGGAUGGACUCGCGGCUUAUCAGCUUGUUGGUGGGGUAGUGACUUACCAAGGCUUUGACGGGUAGCCGGCCUGAGAGGGUGACCGGCCACAUUGGGACUGAGAUACGGCCCAGACUCCUACGGGAGGCAGCAGUGGGGAAUAUUGCACAAUGGGCGGAAGCCUGAUGCAGCAACGCCGCGUGCGGGAUGACGGCCUUCGGGUUGUAAACCGCUUUCGCCUGUGACGAAGCGUGAGUGACGGUAAUGGGUAAAGAAGCACCGGCUAACUACGUG